CGAGAGACCCGCGCCGCAGUGACGAAAAACACCGAGUCAGAGCUCCGGCAGGGCCGACAGCACCGAGGAGGCCGUGGAUGCUCUUCUGAGGCCGCUGCGGAGCUGACGGUGCCCGGGGCCCGGUGCAGCGGAGGGGACCGGCGCAGGGGUCAGAGGAGUGAGAUAUGUAAAGAAGACCCAGCCGGCGCGAUUCCAGGUGGGAGUCCAGAUGUUGGGCCCGUGAGCCAGGUACUUAACCUACAUGCCUGUGUGUGUGUCUGCCACACUGGGACAUGGAGUCUAACGCUGUGGGACGUGGUAACCUAGAAGAAGCAGCGUGGUGAUGGGGGGGUUACAGAGAGGAGCGGCGACAGGAGGAGUGCUUUUACAAUCAAAGAGCCUUAUUGUCAAACUGUGGCUCUGGAUUUACAUAUAAAGGAAUAUGUUUGAAUGUGUUAUACUUAAAUGGAUAUCGCCUGCGGUCUGUAUCUGGUACCCGUGACUUCCCUCAGCUCCACCUGAAGCCCCCCCUCUGUGAGCGACGACAUUUCAAACCCCCGAAUGACUGACGGGUGAGCCGCGCCUGGUCCGGUCCGGCUGGUCGUCACGAGCAGUGAGACCAAAACUAAGCUCCUCACGCACAUUAGUGACGUGCCUCCGACCAGAGACGCAGACUGUCCUCAGCCAGGAGAACCUGAAGAUCCCCGCCGCAAGUAAUGGAAGAGCGGAGCGUGAAUCAUGAAUCCAUCAGAGUAAACGGAGCGAUGGAU
Long non-coding RNA from Gasterosteus aculeatus aculeatus (three-spined stickleback), 749 nucleotides. The record is from Ensembl. Lineage: Eukaryota; Metazoa; Chordata; Actinopteri; Perciformes; Gasterosteidae.